ACCCUGGUGGCGAGUGGCGAACGGGUGAGUAAUAUAUCGGAACGUGCCCUGGAGUGGGGGAUAACUAGUCGAAAGACUAGCUAAUACCGCAUACGAUCUACGGAUGAAAGUGGGGGAUCGCAAGACCUCAUGCUCGUGGAGCGGCCGAUAUCUGAUUAGCUAGUUGGUGGGGUAAAAGCCUACCAAGGCAUCGAUCAGUAGCUGGUCUGAGAGGACGACCAGCCACACUGGGACUGAGACACGGCCCAGACUCCUACGGGAGGCAGCAGUGGGGAAUUUUGGACAAUGGGGGCAACCCUGAUCCAGCAAUGCCGCGUGAGUGAAGAAGGCCUUCGGGUUGUAAAGCUCUUUUGUCAGGGAAGAAACGGUCCGGGCUAAUANCCUGGGCUAAUGACGGUACCUGAAGAAUAAGCACCGGCUAACUACGUGCCAGCAGCCGCGGUAAUACGUAGGGUGCAAGCGUUAAUCGGAAUUACUGGGCGUAAAGCGUGCGCAGGCGGUUGUGCAAGACAGAUGUGAAAUCCCCGGGCUUAACCUGGGAAUUGCAUUUGUGACUGCACGGCUAGAGUGUGUCAGAGGGGGGUAGAAUUCCACGUGUAGCAGUGAAAUGCGUAGAGAUGUGGAGGAAUACCGAUGGCGAAGGCAGC
RNAcentral lists this ribosomal RNA (647 nucleotides) under uncultured bacterium. RNAcentral's name for it is "bacterial SSU rRNA". It matches the Rfam family "Bacterial small subunit ribosomal RNA", at positions 82 to 725 of the family's 1533-position model. The record is from RNAcentral.